UUAACCGGAUUAGAUACCCUGGUAGUCCACGCCGUAAACGAUGUCGACUUGGAGGUUGUGCCCUUGAGGCGUGGCUUCCGGAGCUAACGCGUUAAGUCGACCGCCUGGGGAGUACGGCCGCAAGGUUAAAACUCAAAUGAAUUGACGGGGGCCCGCACAAGCGGUGGAGCAUGUGGUUUAAUUCGAUGCAACGCGAAGAACCUUACCUGGUCUUGACGUCCACGGAAGUUUUCAGAGAUGAGAAUGUGCCUUCGGGAACCGUGAGACAGGUGCUGCAUGGCUGUCGUCAGCUCGUGUUGUGAAAUGUUGGGUUAAGUCCCGCAACGAGCGCAACCCUUAUCCUUUGUUGCCAGCGGUCCGGCCGGGAACUCAAAGGAGACUGCCAGUGAUAAACUGGAGGAAGGUGGGGAUGACGUA
This 417-nucleotide ribosomal RNA is filed under the name uncultured bacterium. Its description in RNAcentral is "bacterial SSU rRNA". It matches the Rfam family "Bacterial small subunit ribosomal RNA", at positions 769 to 1186 of the family's 1533-position model. The record is from RNAcentral.